Molecule: small RNA, 136 nt
Filed under: Salmonella enterica subsp. enterica
Lineage: Bacteria; Pseudomonadati; Pseudomonadota; Gammaproteobacteria; Enterobacterales; Enterobacteriaceae
Description: RtT sRNA
Rfam family: RtT RNA
About the family: This family represents a bacterial cis-regulatory element known as RtT RNA. The exact function of RtT is unknown although it is thought that it may be involved in changing the cellular response in relation to amino acid starvation.
Source: RNAcentral
UGCAUCUGAAGCCUGACGAGGAUGAGAACCUCCGGGGCAAGAGGUUCGACCCGAGCGAAGCGCGAGAGAACGUUGCGUCAGCAACGCACCCGCAGGGCGAGCCACGUAGUAGCGAGUCAUCCUUCAUCACCGGCGC